GGAAUAUUGGACAAUGGGCGAAAGCCUGAUCCAGCCAUGCCGCGUGGGUGAAGAAGGCCCUAGGGUUGUAAAUCCCUUUCAGCGGGGAAGAUAAUGACGGUACCCGCAGAAGAAGCCCCGGCUAACCCCGUGCCAGCAGCCGCGGUAAUACGGAGGGGGCUAGCGUUGUUCGGAAUUACGGGGCGUAAAGCGCGCGUAGGCGGACCUGUAAGUCGGGGGUGAAAUCCCGAGGCUCAACCUCGGAACUGCCUUCGAUACUGCGGGUCUUGAGUCCGGGAGAGGUGAGUGGAAUUCCUAGUGUAGAGGUGAAAUUCGUAGAUAUUAGGAAGAACACCAGUGGCGAAGGCGGCUCACUGGCCCGGUACUGACGCUGAGGCGCGAAAGCGUGGGGAGCAAAC
This 398-nucleotide ribosomal RNA is filed under the name uncultured bacterium. Its description in RNAcentral is "bacterial SSU rRNA". It matches the Rfam family "Bacterial small subunit ribosomal RNA", at positions 358 to 773 of the family's 1533-position model. The record is from RNAcentral.